This 69-nucleotide small nucleolar RNA is filed under the name Leptobrachium leishanense (Leishan spiny toad). RNAcentral's name for it is "Small nucleolar RNA SNORD24 (ENSLLEG00000030057.1)". It matches the Rfam family "Small nucleolar RNA SNORD24". Rfam says of the family: U24 is a member of the C/D class of snoRNA which contain the C (UGAUGA) and D (CUGA) box motifs. C/D box snoRNAs have been shown to act as methylation guides for a number of RNA targets. U24 is encoded within an intron of the gene for ribosomal protein L7a in mammals, chicken and Fugu. Lineage: Eukaryota; Metazoa; Chordata; Amphibia; Anura; Megophryidae. The record is from Rfam by way of RNAcentral.
UGCAGAUGAUGUGAUGAAUAUUUGCUAUCUGAGAUUUUCUGAUGACAAACCACCAAGAUCGCUGAUGCA